AACGCUGGACGGCAGGCUAAUACAUGCAAGUCGACGGUAACAUGUCGGAGCAAUCUGAUGAUGACGAGUGGCGCACGGGGUGCGUAACGCGUAUGCAACCUACCCAUAACCGGAACAUAACGUUGAGAAAUCGGCGUCUAAUAUUCCAUGUGUAUAUUUGUGGCAUCAUAGAAUAUAUAAAGAUUAAUGGUUAUGGAUGGGCAUGCGUAUCAUUAGCUAGUUGGUGGGGUAACGGCCUACCAAGGCUGCGAUGAUUAGGGGUUCUGAGAGGAUAACCCCCCACACUGGAACUGAGACACGGUCCAGACUCCUACGGGAGGCAGCAGUAGGGAAUAUUGGGCAAUGGAGGCAACUCUGACCCAGCCAUGCCGCGUGAAGGAAGACGGUCCUAUGGAUUGUAAACUUCUUUUAUCAUAGAGUAACCGCAGGGACGUGUCCCUGCCUGCAAGUAUAUGAUGAAUAAGCAUCGGCUAACUCCGUG
This 481-nucleotide ribosomal RNA is filed under the name uncultured bacterium. Its description in RNAcentral is "bacterial SSU rRNA". It matches the Rfam family "Bacterial small subunit ribosomal RNA", at positions 32 to 507 of the family's 1533-position model. The record is from RNAcentral.